AGGAGCCACCUUCUGAGCCUCCAGUACCAUGUGUCAGGACCACAUGAACUGGGCAUUGUGGGCCUGACAUGGUGCUGGGGCCUCAGGGGUCUGCUCUU
This 98-nucleotide microRNA precursor is filed under the name Callithrix jacchus (white-tufted-ear marmoset). RNAcentral's name for it is "microRNA cja-mir-770 precursor". Its record names the gene cja-mir-770. The stretch from base 9 to 91 matches the Rfam family "mir-770 microRNA precursor family". The record is from miRBase by way of RNAcentral. Lineage: Eukaryota; Metazoa; Chordata; Mammalia; Primates; Cebidae.